RNAcentral lists this unclassified non-coding RNA (2302 nucleotides) under Hevea brasiliensis (rubber tree). The record is from RNAcentral. Lineage: Eukaryota; Viridiplantae; Streptophyta; Magnoliopsida; Malpighiales; Euphorbiaceae.
GGGAUCUUUCGGUUCCAGAAUCAACGGAGCUCACCAAUCUUUAUCAUGAGAAAAAUCCAGAGCAUGAAACAGUUGGUUUCAGAAAACUUCAUUUAUCUCGUCCGACUUCACUCGAACUGACCCAAAUGGCAGCUAUAAUUAUAAUUUUAGAUCUCUAGGCAAAAUUUAUAUCCUAAUUCAAGAAAAUAGUAAAGUGAACACCGUUGAUUCUGGAACCGAAAGAUCCCUAUGAAAGUUCUUCUCAUGUUAGUUAUCAUUCAUCCCAAAUAAUCCACACGCCCCUUGUCUUGUUAAGCCUAUGUACAACUUUCUGAACAGUAUUUGCUACAAGUUAAAAAAGACCUCUAGCGUCUUUUAAGUUUGAUAAAAUCUGAGAAUCACAAGGAUGAAGAUAACGCUCCAAAGAAUAUCAGAUGCCUAUUUUCUAAGGAAUCCCUCCAGUUACCGACCAAAGAGAGUAUAUACCAACAAGUGGAAGGGAAGCAUAUGCCCAUUGGACUCAUACGAGAGGCACAAGGUUGUAUCUUUCAUGACACAUUCACAAGCCUUGCACGUCCAGUGUUUGGAUCCACCUCCACCCUGAGACCAAGUCCAGCAAGCUCGGGCAUUUCAACAGAUCCUUGAAGCUCCAAUUCAGCUACUGCUCGCUGAUUUUCUGCAUUCCCUUCCAAUAAGUUCCUCACAGACCAGAUGCCCCAUUCCCUUAAAAAUGGGUUAUCUUCAUCAGUGACACACUGUUGUAACAUCAGAAGAAUUCCAUUCUUCUGCCUAAUCUCAUCUUGCACACGCCUUCUUUGAAAUGCACAAUUGCCAAUGACCGCAACAAUGUCUCUCCGAAAUCCUUGGUAAGGGCAAGGUCUAAAUGAGCGCAAAGGAGCUGCAUCUUGGCCCUCGUUCAGUUUCAUGGCUUUCUUGAUAAUUGGUGGGGGCUCAAGGUCUCCAAGCACAGAUAAAAGCAAUUCAAGAAAUCCAUAGGAAAAGAGUUUAUCAACGACAUCCAUUUGAUGUUCACCAAGACCGUUCUUACAGUGCUGAGCACAUAUGUCUCUUAAAAUGGUAAGCGAGUAUCCAAGAACAUCAAUUGCAGCAGAACCUACUGGAAGGCCAGAUUUGGCUUUUGAGCUCGAGUCAAUGACCCCAAGAGAUCUCUUAAAUAUUCCAAAUAUAUACAAUCCAAAAUCAAUUGAAGAAAUUAUCUCGCCAAGGCGUUCAUUCAAGAUCUCUGAUACCAUACGCAGAAGAUAAGCUUGUUCCAUUGAAAAAUUGCCGCUACUUGAACUAAUAUCUUCACUGUUUUCAGACUCACCAACACUACAUAAUCCAGAGAAGAGCUGCGGAAAGUGGGCUUCCUCCAAGCAGAUCCUUGAUAGCAGCAGCUUCAACCAAUCUUCUCCAAAACCAACUGCAGAUGCAGUCCUCACAGCUUCAGCCACAAUGGGCAACCCUUGAUCCCCAGAGAGCUCUGCAACCAGGCUAGGGUUUCCAUCACAACAAUUAUAAAUAAUCAUACAAAGAGGAUCAAGAGUGUCCCGACUUGAGACUUUUGCAAGCGCAACAAACUCAUUUGGAAAGAAGCAAUGCCAAAUAGAUUGCUGAUGUUCUUCUCCAGCCAAAGAAACGUUUGCCAAAACCUGCAAUCCCAUACGGGUUAUCCCAUGAUCUGGGUCAGAAGCAAGCCCCGCAGACUUCAAAACAGUUGAAACCAUUCCUGGUCCAUUCAAUUCGAUGAAAAGUUUCUGAUUGGUGAUUUCGCCCGCACAGAGGUUUCUGAGGAGUUUUAAGGCGAGCGUGAGGAAUUGAUGUCCAGAAGGGUAAGGCAUGGACUGUAUAAUCUGAACAACAGCAGGAAGAAUAUCCUUAGAAGCAAGUUCAGCGCGGCCAUGAUCAAUUCUAGAAGUUGCUAUAAGAAUUUCUAAUGCCUCUUUGAGGUUAGAAGAUUUUGAAGCCCUUAACAAUGGUUGGAGGAGAUGUUCGGGCAAAGAGAGCUCCAUCGGCAGCGCCGAUACGUGACCCAUUGAACGACGGUAAAUUUACGACCAAGAAACUUCACAAUGGCACUCGAACUGCUGAAACUGUCGAACUCGAAAGACGCCGUGAACUGAGAUGAGAUGUUGUAUUUCAAAGGACUAAAGCUCAGUCGGAGGAGAAAUAAUAUGUUACAGGGUACAUUUAUAUUUGGUUGUAACUCUCUGAUAUUACAAGACAAAUAAAGAUCAGCGGCAUCCAAUUCCAAUAUGAUCCUUAUCAGUCAUCACCUUUCCGUUUUCCUUUUAAAAGAAACUACAAUCAGGCCCACCGAAAC